Molecule: ribosomal RNA, 253 nt
Filed under: uncultured bacterium
Lineage: Bacteria
Description: partial 16S ribosomal RNA
Rfam family: Bacterial small subunit ribosomal RNA
Source: RNAcentral
UACGAAGGGUGCAAGCGUUACUCGGAAUCACUGGGCGUAAAGCGUGCGUAGGCGGUUGGUUAAGUCUGCUGUGAAAGCCCUGGGCUCAACCUGGGAACUGCAGUGGAUACUGGCUAGCUAGAGUGUGAUAGAGGAUGGUGGAAUUCCCGGUGUAGCGGUGAAAUGCGUAGAGAUCGGGAGGAACAUCAGUGGCGAAGGCGGCCACCUGGACCAGCACUGACACUGAGGCACGAAAGCGUGGGGAGCAAACAGG